RNAcentral lists this ribosomal RNA (468 nucleotides) under uncultured bacterium. RNAcentral describes it as "partial 16S ribosomal RNA". It matches the Rfam family "Bacterial small subunit ribosomal RNA", at positions 28 to 507 of the family's 1533-position model. The record is from RNAcentral.
GACGAACGCUGGCGGCGUGCUUAACACAUGCAAGUCGAACGGAAAGGCCCUGCUUUUGUGGGGUGCUCGAGUGGCGAACGCGUGUGUAACACGUGAGUAACCUGCCCUUGACUUUGGGAUAACUUCAGGAAACUGGAGCUCUUACCGGAUAUGAGCUCCUGCUGCAUGGUGGUGGUGGGAAAGUUUCGGCGGUUGGGGAUGGACUGGCGGUUAAUCAUCUUGUUGGUGGGGUAGUGGCUUACCAAGGCUUUGACGGGUAGCCGGACUGAGAGGGUGACCGGCCACAUAGGGACUGAGAAACGGCCAAGAGUGAAACGGGAGGCAGGAGUGGGAAAUAUUGCAAAAAGGGCGGAGGCAGGAUGCAGCAACGCCGCGUGGGGGAAGACGGUUGGUGGGUUAUAAACCGCGUGAGCCUGUGAAGAAGAGUGAGUGACGGUAAUGGGUAAAGAAGCAACGGCUAACUACGUG